This 253-nucleotide ribosomal RNA is filed under the name uncultured bacterium. RNAcentral's name for it is "partial 16S ribosomal RNA". It matches the Rfam family "Bacterial small subunit ribosomal RNA", at positions 524 to 776 of the family's 1533-position model. The record is from RNAcentral.
UACGUAGGGUGCGAGCGUUGUCCGGAAUUAUUGGGCGUAAAGGGCUCGUAGGCGGUUUGUCGCGUCGGGAGUGAAAACACUGGGCUUAACUCAGUGCUUGCUUCCGAUACGGGCAGACUAGAGGUAUGCAGGGGAGAACGGAAUUCCUGGUGUAGCGGUGAAAUGCGCAGAUAUCUGGAGGAACACCGGUGGCGAAGGCGGCAUCCUGGACCGACACUGACGCUGAGGAGCGAAAGCCAGGGGAGCAAACGGG